This 503-nucleotide ribosomal RNA is filed under the name uncultured bacterium. RNAcentral's name for it is "bacterial SSU rRNA". It matches the Rfam family "Bacterial small subunit ribosomal RNA", at positions 29 to 528 of the family's 1533-position model. The record is from RNAcentral.
AUUGAACGCUGGCGGCAUGCCUAACACAUGCAAGUCGAACGGGGGUAGGGGCAACUCUACUUCAGUGGCGGACGGGUGAGGAAUGCGUCGGAAUCUACCCUAUGGUGGGGGAUAACACAGGGAAACUUGUGCUAAUACCGCAUGAUGUCGAGAGACCAAAGCAGGGGACCGCAAGGCCUUGCGCGAUAGGAUGAGCCGACGCCCGAUUAGCUAGUUGGUAGGGUAAAGGCCUACCAAGGCGACGAUCGGUAGCUGGUCUGAGAGGAUGAUCAGCCACACUGGGACUGAGACACGGCCCAGACUCCUACGGGAGGCAGCAGUGGGGAAUAUUGGACAAUGGGCGCAAGCCUGAUCCAGCAAUGCCGCGUGUGUGAAGAAGGCCUGCGGGUCGUAAAGCACUUUUGUUCGGGAAGAAAACGGAUCGGUUAAUACCCGGUUCGGAUGACGGUACCGAAAGAAUAAGCACCGGCUAACUUCGUGCCAGCAGCCGCGGUUAAAGUCGA